Ananas comosus (pineapple) is the source of this 608-nucleotide long non-coding RNA. RefSeq lists it as uncharacterized. Lineage: Eukaryota; Viridiplantae; Streptophyta; Magnoliopsida; Poales; Bromeliaceae. The transcript is spliced from 2 exons. The record is from RefSeq and is a predicted model, not a curated record.
CACAUUACACCCCUACCUUUGCCUCUAUUAAGUAGUUUUGAUGGUAAGAUGAUAGUUGGACUAACUUCAAAGGAUAAGGUUUUUCAUUCACUGUUUUUUCUACAACUGUAGCAAGUAACAUUACAUUGUAGUGUUAUGGUUCUCUUCCUAGUAAAUUUUGAGGAAACACUAAUAUGUCCCUUUCAGUUGGGUUGAAGAUGCUGUAUUGGCUAAUGUGAAGGAAGAUAAACAGGGAUGCACUUGGUUUGUAGUACAGAAAAAAUAAAGAGAGACUGGAGAGAGAGAUGGAGAUCAAGAGGAUCAGAGACGAACUUCUUGCUAAAGCAAAAGAAAAUGAUUCCCCGGCAUAAACAUUUCGCUAUCCUACUCUGUAAUAUUUAAAAUUUGUUUUGAAGUUUUCCUUCUAGCGACACCAAGAGAUCUCUCUCAGAGAUAUGAAACAAGCUUUGCCAAUAUAUUCUGGUAAUAAGCAAGGCAGGUUUUACCGUCAUAACUGACCAUUUGUUACUGUGUUAUCGUGGGACCGAUUGUUGAUUACUCGUCAUAUUUGCAUUCGCACAUGUGUUUCUGCAUACGAUAUAUACUACAAUUCAGGCCCCUUGUGUGAA